This 478-nucleotide ribosomal RNA is filed under the name uncultured bacterium. Its description in RNAcentral is "partial 16S ribosomal RNA". It matches the Rfam family "Bacterial small subunit ribosomal RNA", at positions 28 to 523 of the family's 1533-position model. The record is from RNAcentral.
GACGAACGCUGGCGGCGUGCUUAACACAUGCAAGUCGAACGGUAAGGCCCUUCGGGGUACACGAGUGGCGAACGGGUGAGUAACACGUGGGUGAUCUGCCCUGCACUUCGGGAUAAGCCUGGGAAACUGGGUCUAAUACCGGAUAGGACCACUGCCUGCAUGGGUGGUGGUGGAAAGCUUUUGCGGUGUGGGAUGGGCCCGGGGCCUGUCAGCUUGUUGGGGGGGUGAUGGCCGGCCAAGGCGGCGACGGGUAGCCGGCCUGAGAGGGUGACCGGCCACACUGGGACUGAGAUACGGCCCAGACUCCUACGGGAGGCAGCAGUGGGGAAUAUUGCACAAUGGGCGCAAGCCUGAUGCAGCGACGCCGCGUGAGGGAUGACGGCCUUCGGGUUGUAAACCUCUUUCAGCACCGACGAAGCGCAAGUGACGGUAGGUGCAGAAGAAGGACCGGCCAACUACGUGCCAGCCGCCGCCGUAA